Molecule: non-coding RNA, 77 nt
Organism: Podarcis lilfordi (Lilford's wall lizard)
Lineage: Eukaryota; Metazoa; Chordata; Lepidosauria; Squamata; Lacertidae
Source: the annotation of a GenBank genome assembly
GCCUGUGGUGCAAUGGAUCAGUACAUCUGGCUGUACAUCUGGCCAGAAGGUUGGUGGUUCGAGCCCACCCAGGGACA